AUGCAGGAUGGAGCUCUGGGAAAGGACACAGGUGCUUGGAGGAUUGUAGAGAGUUUGACUCAGUUGUUUCCUACAGAUUUCUACAAGAAAACACAGACAAAGCCCAGCAUGUGUGAGGUCCUGGUUCUGAGCCCUUUCUUUUCUGCUCCACAUUUCUGUAUGAGAGGAAGAAAUCUGGAAGAGCUGCUGAAAUUACUGGAAUUGGUUGCUGCCUGCAGUGAAACCCUCACAUUCCAGCUCAGGUAA
RNAcentral lists this long non-coding RNA (246 nucleotides) under Zonotrichia albicollis (white-throated sparrow). RNAcentral's name for it is "lncRNA (ENSZALG00000010475.1)". Lineage: Eukaryota; Metazoa; Chordata; Aves; Passeriformes; Passerellidae. The record is from RNAcentral.